This is a long non-coding RNA of Bubalus bubalis (water buffalo), 2089 nucleotides long. RefSeq lists it as uncharacterized. The transcript has 2 exons. The record is from RefSeq and is a predicted model, not a curated record. NCBI's taxonomy places the organism in Eukaryota, Metazoa, Chordata, Mammalia, Artiodactyla, Bovidae.
GGAGGGCAUGGCAACCCACUCCAGUGUUCUUGCCUGGAGAAUCCCCAUGGACAGAGGAGCCUGGAGGGCUACAGUCCACAGGGUCACAAAAAGUCGGACACAACUGAAGUGAGUUAGCACGCACGCAUACAUGUGAUAUGUAGAACAUUUUUAUACUAAAAAAGGAGUUUAUCUCAAAUUUCAGUUUCACCAGAGGUCUUGAAUUUUGUCUGGCAACCCUGUUUGUGAGGUAUGAGAAGGGAAGUGGUCAGCCUGGGCCGGUAAAGGGCCGUGAGGGAGCCGGGGAGAAUCGCAGGUCUGCAGCAGGCACAGGGCAGCGCCUAUCUGAGCCUUGGGCUGGCUGGACCCUUUGGCUACCAAACCUCAUACAGUUAUCACCUUCUUUUCAAAAGUCCACAUUCUGCCAUUUCGCUUUUAUGAAAGGCUUACAUUAAUACCUGUUUUCACUAACCAAAAGAAAUCUGAAGAGGAUUUUCGCUAUUCCAUGAAAAGAGGUGAAAAUCGAAAACAGCAUUGGGGGAUCGUUUGGCAGCGAACAAACUGAAUGCAAUAGCAAAAAGCCCGAGGGAAGACGUCCAGGAACCGGAGAAGCCGUUGACUGAGGUUUUCACUGUGAUUGCCAGGGCUGCAAUGAUUACCGGAAAACAGGACUAAUUUUGAAACAGCAUGUAGGUUUAGGGCAGCUUUGCACGUUGACUGCCUACUGAGGGCUCUAUGAUAGAACAACGUGUGAGUCUAAGCAGUCAAGCUUACUGUCCUAUUCCCAGCCUUCCUCACCAGCCACGCCAGCCACAUCAGCAACAUCAGGUACAGCAGACAGCGACCCUGACCUUUGACUUCGAGGCAAGCAGACCUAGAAGACACAGCUGUCAGUGACCUGCCUGCCCUGAUGGAUUCAGACGUGGUGAGAUGUUAUUAGAUGAACCGCUUCCUCUCGGUCCUGCACCCCAGUCUCAGUCUUCCUCCCCCGCCGCCACCAAGACCGACCCCAACCCACCGUCAUGACCACCUCUCGGCCUCCCAGUGUGUGCUAUCUUCCCCAUUCUGGUCUACCCCUGGCCUCACCGGCCUACCCUUCACCAGCUGCUUCUGCAGAGAAGUACGAGCUGGACCAGGAGCUACACUGACCACCUGCCUGGCAGGGCCAGCACGGCUGCUCCCACCCAGCUUGGAGGACGCAGGGACUGUCUGGACCGGGUUGUCGGCCUGCACAACGCCCCCCCCAACACAUCCCAGAGACCCCAUGGGGCCGGCCCUGCUCCCAGGAGCUCCCUCCCCUAGGAGAGGCUGAAUCUGAGGGGAGAUGCUCCUGAAAGGGGGCUCCUUGGGAGACCGAGGCCCCCCCUUCCUCAGGGCCAGGUUGGGGGACACUCAGAGCCUGUGCGUCUCUGCAGCUCGGGGCUGAGGCCCUGACAGCCCCUGUGCUGCCCUGCCAUCGGGAGCCCUCCUGGGGGGUGGGUUCCUUUCUUCCAGGGUCCUGGGCUGCUACUCAGCCCCUACCUCUGGCUCUGCUGGUACGGACCCCUCCCCGUUACUGUGAGUGCGCCCCUCCUGGGGACGAGGCUGGGGUUCCCGCCGCUUUCUCAGCCCUGCCUGGCCAUGGCCCUCUGCUUCUUGCCUCUCCCCAUAGCAGAAUCAGGGUCUGCUGGGCGGAGGGGAGGGCCGGCCGGGCCGAAGCAAUGCUGGGGUGGGGAUACAGCACUCAGUCACUCACAAUGCCUCCCUGUUGCAGCCUGGGGGAGCAGAGACCAGAACCUGUCCCGGGACUCAAGGGUGCGGUACACUGUGCCCCCGUGAUUGUCCCAGGAAGCAUGCCCAGCGGACAUUCUUGGGGCGGCACGUGCUCUCUGCCCCGCUUCACUGCCUACCCCAGCGUCCGUCCCCACGGAAACAAACAAGAUAUUCCUGAUCAACAGCAGAGCCUUAACUUUACUCCCUCUUUACGGUGAGCUAAUCCAGCUCCCCCGUAUAGCUAUUCCCUAAUGAUCUCAUGUGACUUCUGCCAAUAAAAGUGCGGGCUGGAAGGAGCCAUUUUGUUUUCCUGCCAUGGAGAGCAGGAGGGCUCCCUGACUCCCCGCUGGCCAAAUUA